This 467-nucleotide ribosomal RNA is filed under the name uncultured bacterium. RNAcentral's name for it is "partial 16S ribosomal RNA". It matches the Rfam family "Bacterial small subunit ribosomal RNA", at positions 28 to 507 of the family's 1533-position model. The record is from RNAcentral.
GACGAACGCUGGCGGCGUGCUUAACACAUGCAAGUCGAACGGAAAGGCCUCUUUCGGGGGGUACUCGAGUGGCGAACGGGUGAGUAACACGUGAGUAACCUGCCCUUGACUUUGGGAUAACUUCAGGAAACUGGGGCUAAUACCGGAUAGGAGCUCCUGCUGCAUGGUGGGGGUUGGAAAGUUUCGGCGGUUGGGGAUGGACUCGCGGCUUAUCAGCUUGUUGGUGGGGUAGUGGCUUACCAAGGCUUUGACGGGUAGCCGGCCUGAGAGGGUGACCGGCCACAUUGGGACUGAGAUACGGCCCAGACGCCUACGGGAGGCAGCAGUGGGGAAUAUUGCACAAUGGGUGGAAGCCUGAUGCAGCAACGCCGGGCGCGGGAUGACGGCCUUCGGGUUGUAAACCGCUUUCGCUCAGGACGAAGCUUUGUGUGACGGUAGUGGGUAAAGAAGCACCGGCUAACUACGUG